AGAGUUUGAUCCUGGCUCAGAUUGAACGCUGGCGGCAGGCUUAACACAUGCAAGUCGAACGGUAGCAGGAGGAAGCUUGCUUUCUUGCUGACGAGUGGCGGACGGGUGAGUAAUGCUUGGGAAUCUGGCUUAUGGAGGGGGAUAACUACUGGAAACGGUAGCUAAUACCGCGUAAUAUCGAGAGAUUAAAGGGUGGGACUUUCGGGCCACCUGCCAUAAGAUGAGCCCAAGUGGGAUUAGGUAGUUGGUGGGGUAAAGGCCUACCAAGCCUGCGAUCUCUAGCUGGUCUGAGAGGAUGGCCAGCCACACUGGAACUGAGACACGGUCCAGACUCCUACGGGAGGCAGCAGUGGGGAAUAUUGCACAAUGGGGGGAACCCUGAUGCAGCCAUGCCGCGUGAAUGAAGAAGGCCUUCGGGUUGUAAAGUUCUUUCGGUGAUGAGGAAGGUGUUUUGUUUAAUAGACGAGGCAAUUGACGUUAGUCACAGAAGAAGCACCGGCUAACUCCGUGCCAGCAGCCGCGGUAAUACGGAGGGUGCGAGCGUUAAUCGGAAUAACUGGGCGUAAAGAGCACGCAGGCGGAUUGUUAAGUGAGAUGUGAAAGCCCCGAGCUUAACUUGGGAAUUGCAUUUCAGACUGGCAGUCUAGAGUAUUUUAGGGAGGGGUAGAAUUCCACGUGUAGCGGUGAAAUGCGUAGAGAUGUGGAGGAAUACCGAAGGCGAAGGCAGCCCCUUGGGAAUAUACUGACGCUCAUGUGCGAAAGCGUGGGGAGCAAACAGGAUUAGAUACCCUGGUAGUCCACGCUGUAAACGAUGUUGAUUUGGGGAUUGGGCUUUAAGCUUGGUGCCCGUAGCUAACGUGAUAAAUCAACCGCCUGGGGGAGUACGGCCGCAAGGUUAAAACUCAAAGGAAUUGACGG
This 918-nucleotide ribosomal RNA is filed under the name uncultured bacterium. RNAcentral's name for it is "bacterial SSU rRNA". It matches the Rfam family "Bacterial small subunit ribosomal RNA", at positions 8 to 916 of the family's 1533-position model. The record is from RNAcentral.